GACGAACGCUGGCGGCGUGCCUAACACAUGCAAGUCGAGCGGAGGCUGAGGAUAGCCCAGCGAUGGGAAGGAAUCGGCUUUAGCGGCGAACGGGUGAGUAACACGUGGGCAAUCUGCCCUCUGGAGCGGGAUAACAGACCGAAAGGCCUGCUAAUACCGCAUGAGGCCGUACUCUCGCAUGGGAGAACGGUCAAAGGGGAAACCCGCCGGAGGAGGAGCCCGCGUCCCAUUAGCUAGUUGGCGGUGUAACGGACCACCAAGGCGAUGAUGGGUAGCCGGCCUGAGAGGGUGAACGGCCACAUUGGGACUGAGACACGGCCCAGACUCCUACGGGGGGCAGCAGUGAGGGAUUUUCGGCAAUGGGCGAAAGCCUGACCGAGCGACGCCGCGUGAGCGAAGAAGGCCUUCGGGUCGUAAAGCUCUGUCUAGGGGGAAGAGAGAGGACGGUACCCCUGGAGGAAGCCACGGCUAACUACGUGCCAGCAGCCGCGGUAAUACGUAGGUGGCGAGCGUUGUCCGGAAUUACUGGGCGUAAAGGGCGCGCAGGCGGUUCGUUAAGUCUGGGGUGAAAUCCUUCGGCUCAACCGGAGGGGGACCCUGGAUACUGGCGGGCUUGAGUGUGGGAGAGGGAAGCGGAAUUCCACGUGUAACGGUGAAAUGUAUAGAUAUGUGGAGGAACACCGGUGGC
RNAcentral lists this ribosomal RNA (688 nucleotides) under uncultured bacterium. Its description in RNAcentral is "bacterial SSU rRNA". It matches the Rfam family "Bacterial small subunit ribosomal RNA", at positions 28 to 716 of the family's 1533-position model. The record is from RNAcentral.